UGUAAGCGUAUACCAAAGUUGUUGCAGUUAAAACGCUCGUAGUCGGACUUUGGCAGUUCCGGAUGUGUGCACGUCGUGUGCGCACUUCGCGGGGAUUGCUUUUGUGGUCUUGCGUAGGAUGAGGCACUUUUAUUAGUGAACGUCCUCACGCAACCACUUUUUACUGUGAGAAAAUCAGAGUGCUCAAAGCAGGCAUUUGCCGUGAAUGUAUUAGCAUGGAAUAAUAGAAUAGGACUUGGUUCUAUUUUGUUGGUUUGUUGGGACUGAGUAAUGAUUAAGAGGGACAGUCGGGGGCAUUUGUAUUUCGGUGCUAGAGGUGAAAUUCUUAGAUUACCGAAAGACAAACUGCUGCGAAAGCGUCUGCCAAGGAUGUUUUCAUUGA
Molecule: ribosomal RNA, 382 nt
Filed under: uncultured eukaryote
Lineage: Eukaryota
Description: partial 18S ribosomal RNA
Rfam family: Eukaryotic small subunit ribosomal RNA
Source: RNAcentral